Molecule: ribosomal RNA, 468 nt
Filed under: uncultured bacterium
Lineage: Bacteria
Description: partial 16S ribosomal RNA
Rfam family: Bacterial small subunit ribosomal RNA (bases 13-373)
Source: RNAcentral
GACGAACGCUGGCGGCGUGCUUAACACAUGCAAGUCGAACGGAAAGGCCCUGCUUUUGUGGGGUGCUCGAGUGGCGAACGGGUGAGUAACACGUGAGUAACCUGCCCUUGACUUUGGGAUAACUUCAGGAAACUGGGGCUAAUACCGGAUAGGAGCUCCUGCUGCAUGGUGGGGGUUGGAAAGUUUCGGCGGUUGGGGAUGGACUCGCGGCUUAUCAGCUUGUUGGUGGGGUAGUGGCUUACCAAGGCUUUGACGGGUAGCCGGCCUGAGAGGGUGACCGGCGAUAGUGGGAAAGAGUGCACGCCCGGCGCACGACGGGGGGCGGAAGGGGGGGGUGGUGCAGAAUGGGCGGAAGCAUGAUGCAGCAACGGCGAGUGGGGGGUGGGGGCUGGCGGGUUGGAACACGCAUUCGCCUGUGACGAAGCGGGAGGGGGGGGAGUGGGUAGAGAGAAAAGCACAAAGAAGGGG